Molecule: long non-coding RNA, 1487 nt
Organism: Ictidomys tridecemlineatus (thirteen-lined ground squirrel)
Lineage: Eukaryota; Metazoa; Chordata; Mammalia; Rodentia; Sciuridae
Source: RefSeq, a predicted model, not a curated record
UGAUGGUGGUAGUCACGUCACAAAACCAAAUGCAGGGGCAGGAAGCUGCAGGGAAGAAGGGCGGUGCUGGGAGAGAUGGGGGUCAUCUAGGAGGAGGAGAGGACAGAAGCAGUGGUGGCCACGGCCUGGGCUCGUCUUCUCCUAACACCGACUUCCGAAACACAGUCAUGGGAUGUGCUAGCGCUCUUUCCCCCGUGGGGGGCUGCACCUGGACUGGGGGCCGGGACUCUCCUGGGGACUCUCCCAGAGGCUAUGCACCUUCACAGUUGUCCAGCAGGUUCCAGAGCCAAGCUGAAGUCUAACGGAUUGGUCACUCGGGAUGUUCCUGGAGCUCCUGCAACAUGGGGGCAGAAGAUAUCACAGUAGAGAGCGCUCAUGAGGAAGCAGUGACUUCAGGUCCUCUCUAGAUCUCCAGUGCACACACAGGAAGAAAUCCUCUUGCUGUCACCUGCCACCCACCAAGAGCCACUUCCCAAUCUGGAGAGCGUGGGAUGGCGGGUGCCACAGGUGAACAAGGUCCUCCGCCAGGACCUCCAGAUGAGAAGCAGGAUCCUGGCCCCAGAACCAUCCUCUGCAAGUCCUGAAGCAUCCAGUACCAUCUCGGGGUUGUGUGAAAGACCAACGAGGAAAGGAAGAAUCGGAGUGGAAAAGAGAAGAGGGGCCUGGGACAUAAGACACAAGUGCCCACCACGUCCCAGUUCUGAGCCAGAGAGCUGGGGGAUGGGCAUUUGAAGAGUUGAGUCCAACUCUGUGUGACAAGUUCGUGGAACUAUGUCACGGCGUGAACCAAAUGCGACUACGCUCAUGAAGGUCAGGAAGGUCCAACGGCACCCACCUCACAGGGUUCAGCCUGAGGUCCAGAGGUCAGCCUGAGGUCCCCUGGCCUCUGCGGUCACAGCUGAAUGAAUUUGAAAGGUUUUCCAGGUGUUUCAGGUGGGAUGGGGAGAAAGUGUUUCCAAGGAAGAGGGGAAAUGAGCACAGGUUGAGGUAAGGAGAUCCUCCUGCUCAGGCAGGACCCCAGGGGUCUACUGCAAGGAGAGAGCUGUGACAGGUCCUAAGACGAGCAGAGGUGACCAGCACUGCUGUGAAGGCUGCAUCAAAGUUGGAUUUGUCACCGGUGGGCAACAGACCCUCACCAAAUUGUCCAAAUACAAAAGUGAGUUGGAUCUCAAAUGGCCCCCAGAAGCUUGUGUGGUGAAGACUUGGUUCUCCAGCUGAUGGGACUACUGGGGGGUGGUGGAACCUUUAGAAGGUGGGGUCCAGUUGGAGGAAGUAGGUCAUCAGGGGCAUGCCUGGGAAAAAUAAGGAGACCCCCACCCCGCCCUCUCUCUGCUUCCUGGCUGCCAGGAGCCAAGCAGCUUUGCUACACCAGGACACCCUCUCCACCAUGAUGUUCUGGCUUUCCCUCGGUUCCAGAAACAACAGAUCCCAGUGACCAUGGACUGGAACCUCUGAAACUGUGAGCCAAAUAAAUCUUUCUUCCUUUA